RNAcentral lists this transfer RNA (77 nucleotides) under Candidatus Daviesbacteria bacterium RIFCSPLOWO2_02_FULL_43_11. RNAcentral describes it as "tRNA-Glu". It matches the Rfam family "tRNA". Rfam says of the family: Transfer RNA (tRNA) molecules are approximately 80 nucleotides in length. Their secondary structure includes four short double-helical elements and three loops (D, anti-codon, and T loops). The record is from RNAcentral. Lineage: Bacteria; Candidatus Daviesiibacteriota.
GGCGCGUUCGUCUAGAGGCCUAGGACACCGGGUUUUCAUCCCGGGAAUCGCGGGUUCGAAUACCGCACGCGCUACCA